UUACACGACGACCGGUGCUAUGUGAUACGUUCUCUACGAGUCGAGUUGUUUGGGAAUGCAGCUCAAAACGGGUGGUAAACUCCAUCUAAAGCUAAAUAUUGGUGGGAGACCGAUAGCGAACAAGUACCGUGAGGGAAAGAUGAAAAGCACUUUGGAAAGAGAGUUAAACAGUAUGUGAAAUUGUUGAAAGGGAAACGAUUGAAGUCAGUCGUGUCCAUUGGGUUCAGCCGGUCCUGCCGGUCUACUCCCUUUGGACGGGUCAACAUCAGUUCUGACCGGCGGAUAAUGGCACGAGGAACGUGGCACCCUCCGGGGUGUGUUAUAGCCUCGCGUCGCAUACGCUGGUCGGGACUGAGGAACGCAGCUCGCCUUCAUGGCCGGGGUACGCCCACGUACGAGCUUAGGAUG
RNAcentral lists this ribosomal RNA (408 nucleotides) under Kwoniella mangrovensis. Its description in RNAcentral is "partial large subunit ribosomal RNA". It matches the Rfam family "Eukaryotic large subunit ribosomal RNA", at positions 225 to 625 of the family's 3401-position model. Lineage: Eukaryota; Fungi; Basidiomycota; Tremellomycetes; Tremellales; Cryptococcaceae. The record is from RNAcentral.